This 431-nucleotide ribosomal RNA is filed under the name uncultured bacterium. RNAcentral's name for it is "partial 16S ribosomal RNA". It matches the Rfam family "Bacterial small subunit ribosomal RNA", at positions 29 to 507 of the family's 1533-position model. The record is from RNAcentral.
AACGAACGCUGGCGGCAGGCUUAACACAUGCGAGUCGAACGCCCCGCAAGGGGAGUGGCAGACGGGUGAGUAACGCGUGGGAACAUACCCUUUUCUACGGAAUAGCUCUGGGAAACUGGAAUUAAUACCGUAUACGCCCUACGGGGGAAAGAUUUAUCGGGGAAGGAUUGGCCCGCGUUGGAUUAGCUAGUUGGUGGGGUAAAGGCCUACCAAGGCGACGAUCCAUAGCUGGUCUGAGAGGAUGAUCAGCCACAUUGGGACUGAGACACGGCCCAAACUCCUACGGGAGGCAGCAGUGGGGAAUAUUGGACAAUGGGCGCAAGCCUGAUCCAGCCAUGCCGCGUGAGUGAUGAAGGCCUUAGGGUUGUAAAGCUCUUUCACCGAUGAAGAUAAUGACGGUAGUCGGAGAAGAAGCCCCGGCUAACUUCGUG